AGGCAGCACAUGUAUCAGUCCAGUGUUGAAAACACAACGAAUAUCCUCCUCAUCAAGUGGAACCGGCUCCCUAGGAGCACUCUCAUGAGGUGGAGGAGGAACCGUAAUGUUCUCAACAUAGACAUCAGUUGAGUAUACAUCACAAGCAAUAUCAGAGUCAGAUGCAGAAGUAGAGUCAUAGACACAGGCAAAAUAAGCAUUACUCACAUAACCAAAAUAGGUAGACAUGGGAAAGAAGGGAAAAAGAAGAAUGCAAUGAAAAUA
RNAcentral lists this long non-coding RNA (264 nucleotides) under Vigna radiata. RNAcentral's name for it is "long non-coding RNA (VRAD_LNC000991)". The record is from RNAcentral. Lineage: Eukaryota; Viridiplantae; Streptophyta; Magnoliopsida; Fabales; Fabaceae.